CACGUAGGAGGCAAACGUUAUCCGGAUUUACUGGGCGUAAAGCGCGUGUAGGUGGUUCUGUAAGUAGGGCGUGAAAGCUCCCGGCUCAACUGGGAGAGGCCGUUCUAAACUGCAGAGCUAGAGGAUGGUAGAGGGAGGUGGAAUUCCAGGUGUAGCGGUGAAAUGCAUAGAUAUUACACAGAACACCGAUUGCGAAGGCAGCUUACUAAUCCAUCAUUGACGCUGAGGCACGAAAGCGUGGGGAUCAAACAGGAUUAGAUA
RNAcentral lists this ribosomal RNA (261 nucleotides) under uncultured prokaryote. Its description in RNAcentral is "partial 16S ribosomal RNA". It matches the Rfam family "Bacterial small subunit ribosomal RNA", at positions 524 to 784 of the family's 1533-position model. The record is from RNAcentral.